RNAcentral lists this unclassified non-coding RNA (283 nucleotides) under Hevea brasiliensis (rubber tree). Lineage: Eukaryota; Viridiplantae; Streptophyta; Magnoliopsida; Malpighiales; Euphorbiaceae. The record is from RNAcentral.
AGAAAGAGAGAGAGAGAGAGAGAGAGAAGUAAAGAGCAAAGACAUGUUGCUUAAAUUUUCAAUUCAACGAGUGAGAAAUCCGAGGGCCUUGAGUCCUCAGAUCCUUGCUUUGAGGAGCUCUCAUUUUUCUACUGCUGCUCAGCCUUCUUCCAGUCAGCGAAAACCUAUGAGGGUUCCGAAUUUUAUUGGAGGGACAUUUGUUGAUUCGCAAUCAUCUUCGGCCAUUGAUGUGAUAAACCCUGCAACACAAGAAGUUGUAUCUCAAGUUCCUUUUACUACAUAU